RNAcentral lists this small nuclear RNA (18 nucleotides) under Arabidopsis thaliana (thale cress). RNAcentral's name for it is "snRNA_13151". The record is from RNAcentral. Lineage: Eukaryota; Viridiplantae; Streptophyta; Magnoliopsida; Brassicales; Brassicaceae.
AUUCCCACUGUCCCUGUC